GUGGGGAAUUUUGGACAAUGGGCGAAAGCCUGAUCCAGCCAUGCCGCGUGCAGGAUGAAGGCCUUCGGGUUGUAAACUGCUUUUGUACGGAACGAAAAGACUCCUUCUAAUAAAGGGGGUCCAUGACGGUACCGUAAGAAUAAGCACCGGCUAACUACGUGCCAGCAGCCGCGGUAAUACGUAGGGUGCAAGCGUUAAUCGGAAUUACUGGGCGUAAAGCGUGCGCAGGCGGUUAUAUAAGACAGAUGUGAAAUCCCCGGGCUCAACCUGGGAACUGCAUUUGUGACUGUAUAGCUAGAGUACGGUAGAGGGGGAUGGAAUUCCGCGUGUAGCAGUGAAAUGCGUAGAUAUGCGGAGGAACACCGAUGGCGAAGGCAAUCCCCUGGACCUGUACUGACGCUCAUGCACGAAAGCGUGGGGAGCAAACAGGAUUAGAAACCCUUGUAGUCC
This 450-nucleotide ribosomal RNA is filed under the name uncultured bacterium. Its description in RNAcentral is "bacterial SSU rRNA". It matches the Rfam family "Bacterial small subunit ribosomal RNA", at positions 354 to 796 of the family's 1533-position model. The record is from RNAcentral.